UACGGAGGGUGCGAGCGUUGUCCGGAAUCAUUGGGCGUAAAGGGCGCGUAGGUGGCGGGACAAGCGUGCGGUGAAAGCCUGGGGCUCAACCCCGGGUCGGCCGUGCGAACUGUUUUGCUCGAGCACUGUAGAGGCAGGCGGAAUUCCGGGUGUAGCGGUGGAAUGCGUAGAGAUCCGGAAGAACACCGGUGGCGAAGGCGGCCUGCUGGGCAGUAGCUGACACUGAGGCGCGACAGCGUGGGGAGCAAACAGG
Molecule: ribosomal RNA, 253 nt
Filed under: uncultured bacterium
Lineage: Bacteria
Description: partial 16S ribosomal RNA
Rfam family: Bacterial small subunit ribosomal RNA
Source: RNAcentral